RNAcentral lists this non-coding RNA (53 nucleotides) under Candidatus Daviesbacteria bacterium GW2011_GWC2_40_12. The record is from RNAcentral. Lineage: Bacteria; Candidatus Daviesiibacteriota.
CCGUAACGUGAAGGCGACGGAAAAGAUAUAGUCUGAUUCUCUAAGAAAUUAGA